This 425-nucleotide ribosomal RNA is filed under the name uncultured bacterium. Its description in RNAcentral is "bacterial SSU rRNA". It matches the Rfam family "Bacterial small subunit ribosomal RNA", at positions 354 to 796 of the family's 1533-position model. The record is from RNAcentral.
GUGGGGAAUUUUGGACAAUGGGCGCAAGCCUGAUCCAGCCAUGCCGCGUGAGUGAUGAAGGCCUUAGGGUUGUAAAGCUCUUUCAGUGGGGACGAUAAUGACGGUACCCACAGAAGAAGCCCCGGCUAACUUCGUGCCAGCAGCCGCGGUAAUACGAAGGGGGCUAGCGUUGUUCGGAUUUACUGGGCGUAAAGCGCACGUAGGCGGAUCGUUAAGUCGGGGGUGAAAUCCUGGAGCUCAACUCCAGAACUGCCUUCGAUACUGGCGAUCUUGAGUCCGGAAGAGGUGAGUGGAACUCCUAGUGUAGAGGUGGAAUUCGUAGAUAUUAGGAAGAACACCAGUGGCGAAGGCGGCUCACUGGUCCGGUACUGACGCUGAGGUGCGAAAGCGUGGGGAGCAAACAGGAUUAGAUACCCUAGUAGUCC